This 939-nucleotide ribosomal RNA is filed under the name uncultured bacterium. RNAcentral describes it as "bacterial SSU rRNA". It matches the Rfam family "Bacterial small subunit ribosomal RNA", at positions 534 to 1472 of the family's 1533-position model. The record is from RNAcentral.
GCAAGCGUUAAUCGGAAUUACUGGGCGUAAAGCGCACGCAGGCGGUUUGUUAAGUCAGAUGUGAAAUCCCCGCGCUUAACGUGGGAACUGCAUUUGAAACUGGCAAGCUAGAGUCUUGUAGAGGGGGGUAGAUUUCCAGGUGUAGCGGUGAAAUGCGUAGAGAUCUGGAGGAAUACCGGGGGCGAAGGCGGCCCCCUGGACAAAGACUGACGCUCAGGUGCGAAAGCGUGGGGAGCAAACAGGAUUAGAUACCCAGGUAGUCCACGCUGUAAACGAUGUCGACUUGGAGGUUGUGCCCUUGAGGCGUGGCUUCCGGAGCUAACGCGUUAAGUCGACCGCCUGGGGAGUACGGCCGCAAGGUUAAAACUCAAAUGAAUUGACGGGGGCCCGCACAAGCGGUGGAGCAUGUGGUUUAAUUCGAUGCAACGCGAAGAACCUUACCUACUCUUGACAUCCACGGAAUUCGCCAGAGAUGGCUUAGUGCCUUCGGGAACCGUGAGACAGGUGCUGCAUGGCUGUCGUCAGCUCGUGUUGUGAAAUGUUGGGUUAAGUCCCGCAACGAGCGCAACCCUUAUCCUUUGUUGCCAGCACGUAAUGGUGGGUACUCAAAGGAGACUGCCGGUGAUAAACCGGAGGAAGGUGGGGAUGACGUCAAGUCAUCAUGGCCCUUACGAGUAGGGCUACACACGUGCUACAAUGGCAUAUACAAAGAGAAGCGAACUCGCGAGAGCAAGCGGACCUCAUAAAGUAUGUCGUAGUCCGGAUUGGAGUCUGCAACUCGACUCCAUGAAGUCGGAAUCGCUAGUAAUCGUAGAUCAGAAUGCUACGGUGAAUACGUUCCCGGGCCUUGUACACACCGCCCGUCACACCAUGGGAGUGGGUUGCAAAAGAAGUAGGUAGCUUAACCUUCGGGAGGGCGCUUACCACUUUGUGAUUCAU